AACGAACGCUGGCGGCAGGCCUAACACAUGCAAGUCGAGCGAGGACUUCGGUCCUAGCGGCGGACGGGUGAGUAAUGCGUGGGAACGUGCCCUUUGCUUCGGAAUAGCCCUGGGAAACUGGGAGUAAUACCGGAUGAGCCCUUUGGGGGAAAGAUUUAUCGGCGAAGGAUCGGCCCGCGUUGGAUUAGGUAGUUGGUGGGGUAAUGGCCUACCAAGCCGACGAUCCAUAGCUGGUUUGAGAGGAUGAUCAGCCACACUGGGACUGAGACACGGCCCAGACUCCUACGGGAGGCAGCAGUGGGGAAUCUUAGACAAUGGGGGAAACCCUGAUCUAGCCAUGCCGCGUGAGCGAUGAAGGCCUUAGGGUUGUAAAGCUCUUUCAGCUGGGAAGAUAAUGACGGUACCAGCAGAAGAAGCCCCGGCUAACUCCGUG
This 433-nucleotide ribosomal RNA is filed under the name uncultured bacterium. RNAcentral describes it as "partial 16S ribosomal RNA". It matches the Rfam family "Bacterial small subunit ribosomal RNA", at positions 29 to 507 of the family's 1533-position model. The record is from RNAcentral.